Non-coding RNA from Acanthosepion pharaonis, 109 nucleotides. NCBI's taxonomy places the organism in Eukaryota, Metazoa, Mollusca, Cephalopoda, Sepiida, Sepiidae. The record is from the annotation of a GenBank genome assembly.
GCCACAAUACAUUGAAACACUGGUUCCUGUACAGUCAGCCAAGUUAAGCAAUGUCAAGCCUGGUCAGUACUUAGAUGGGUGACUACUUGGGAAUAACAGGUGCCGUAAG